Molecule: unclassified non-coding RNA, 200 nt
Filed under: soil metagenome
Description: partial contains internal transcribed spacer 2 and large subunit ribosomal RNA
Source: RNAcentral
CAUACCUGUUCGAGCGUCAUUACACCCCUCAAACAUAGGUUGAUGUUGGGCAGUUGCCGUUAAAGGCAUGCCUAAAAUAUAGUGGCAGUUUCCUGAAACCACAGGCACACAGUUGUUGCGAUGCUGGUAGAUGGGGCCUAGCCUUAACUAAUAUUCUGAAUGUUGACCUCGGAUCAGGUAGGGAUACCCGCUGAACUUAA